CGGGUGAGUAACGCGUGGGUAACCUGCCUUACACAGGGGGAUAACACUUAGAAAUAGGUGCUAAUACCGCAUAAGCGCACAGCUUCGCAUGAAGUGGUGUGAAAAACUCUGGUGGUAUACGAUGGUUCCGCGUCUGAUUAGCUUGUUGGUGGGGUAAUGGCUCACCAAGGCGACGAUCAGUAGCCGGCCUGAGAGGGUGAACGGCCACAUUGGGACUGAGACACGGCCCAAACUCCUACGGAAGGCAGCAG
This 251-nucleotide ribosomal RNA is filed under the name uncultured bacterium. RNAcentral describes it as "partial 16S ribosomal RNA". It matches the Rfam family "Bacterial small subunit ribosomal RNA", at positions 103 to 354 of the family's 1533-position model. The record is from RNAcentral.